AACGAACGCUGGCGGCAUGCCUAACACAUGCAAGUCGAACGAUGCUUUCGUGCAUAGUUGCGCACGGGUGCGUAACGCGUGGGAAUCUGCCCUUGGGUUCGGGAUAACAGUGAGAAAUUGCUGCUAAUACCGGGUGAUGUCUGCGGACCAAAGAUUUAUCGCCCAGGGAUGAGCCCGCGUAGGAUUAGCUAGUUGGUGGGGUAAUGGCCUACCAAGGCGACGAUCCUUAGCUGGUCUGAGAGGAUGAUCCGCCACACUGGGACUGAGACACGGCCCAGACUACUACGGGAGGCAGCCGUGGGGAAUAUUGGAAAAUGGGCGCAAGCAUGAUCCCGCAAUGCCGCGUGAGUGAUGAAGGCCUUAGGGUUGUAAAGCUCUUUUACCCGGGAUGAUAAUGACAGUACCGGGAGAAUAAGCUCCGGCUAACUCCGUG
This 433-nucleotide ribosomal RNA is filed under the name uncultured bacterium. RNAcentral's name for it is "partial 16S ribosomal RNA". It matches the Rfam family "Bacterial small subunit ribosomal RNA", at positions 29 to 507 of the family's 1533-position model. The record is from RNAcentral.